CCUACGGGUGGCAGCAGUGAGGAAUAUUGGUCAAUGGACGAGAGUCUGAACCAGCCAAGUAGCGUGAAGGAUGACUGUUUUAUGGUUUUUAAACUUCUUUUAUAUGGGAAUAAAAUGUUCCACGUGUGGGAUUUUGUCUGUACCAUAUGAAAAAAGAACGGCUAAUUCCGUGCCAGCAGCCGCGGUAAUACGGAGGAUCCGAGCGUUAUUCGGAUUUAUUGGGUUUAAAGGGCGCGUAGGUGGAUUGUUAAGUCAGUUGUGAAAGUUUGCGGCUCAACCGUAAAAUUGCAGUUGAAAAUGGCAGUCUUGAGUACAGUAGAGGUAGGCGGAAUUCGUGGUGUAGCGGUGAAAUGCGUAGAUAUCACGAAGAACUCCGAUUGCGAAGGCAGCUCACUGGACUGCAACUGACACUGAGGCUCGAAAGUGUGGGUAUCAAACAGGAUUAGAUACCCCAGUAGUC
Molecule: ribosomal RNA, 460 nt
Filed under: uncultured bacterium
Lineage: Bacteria
Description: partial 16S ribosomal RNA
Rfam family: Bacterial small subunit ribosomal RNA
Source: RNAcentral